CGCCUGGGGAGUACGACCGCAAGGUUGAAACUCAAAGGAAUUGACGGGGGCCCGCACAAGCGGUGGAGCAUGUGGUUUAAUUCGAAGCAACGCGAAGAACCUUACCAGGUCUUGACAUCCUUUGACCACUCUAGAGAUAGAGCUUUCCCUUCGGGGACAAAGUGACAGGUGGUGCAUGGUUGUCGUCAGCUCGUGUCGUGAGAUGUUGGGUUAAGUCCCGCAACGAGCGCAACCCUUAUUGUUAGUUGCCAUCAUUUAGUUGGGCACUCUAGCGAGACUGCCGGUGACAAACCGGAGGAAGGUGGGGAUGACGUCAAAUCAUCAUGCCCCUUAUGACCUGGGCUACACACGUGCUACAAUGGGAAGUACAACGAGUCGCUAGACCGCGAGGUCAUGCAAAUCUCUUAAAGCUUCUCUCAGUUCGGAUUGCAGGCUGCAACUCGCCUGCAUGAAGCCGGAAUCGCUAGUAAUCGCGGAUCAGCACGCCGCGGUGAAUACGUUCCCGGGCCUUGUACACACCGCCCGUCACACCACGAGAGUUUGUAACACCCGAAGUCGGUGAGGUAACCUUUUUGGAGCCAGCCGCCUAAGGUGGGAUAGAUGAUUGGGGUGAAGUCGUAACAAGGUAGCCGUAUCGGAAGGUGCGGCUGGAUCACCUCCUUUCUAAGGAA
Molecule: ribosomal RNA, 671 nt
Filed under: Enterococcus faecalis
Lineage: Bacteria; Bacillati; Bacillota; Bacilli; Lactobacillales; Enterococcaceae
Description: bacterial SSU rRNA
Rfam family: Bacterial small subunit ribosomal RNA
Source: RNAcentral